This is a transfer-messenger RNA of 381 nucleotides. It matches the Rfam family "Alphaproteobacteria transfer-messenger RNA". Rfam says of the family: Bacterial tmRNA, also known as 10Sa RNA or SsrA, is named for its dual tRNA and mRNA-like properties. Its role is to liberate the mRNA from a stalled ribosome. To accomplish this part of the tmRNA is used as a reading frame that ends in a translation stop signal.
UUAAUGACAAGACCAGGCAAAUACGUGUAUAAUUAAUGCGUCCUAGUUAUGAAAAGGAAUAUGGCGAUAAAUACCUAAUGCAAUAAGCCUAUUGGACCCGGGGGCAGUGCCCGGCGCCUCCACCAUGUGUUUCUUGAGGGCUUUAUGGCAAUCAGCCUUGUCCUUACAGAGGGGGCGAAACAGGAUAGACAAGGGGGUAAAGAUUGGAAGUUCGCUCGGCAUUGUACCACCGUUAUCGGACUAAAACUAUAGUUGCAAAUGAUAACUAUGCUCAGGGAACUUCAACCGCUUUGGCGGCUUAAAGUCCUGAAUUUUAAGUCCUGAAAGGGUUGCACUGACAGGCGGGGUUCGGGAGGCACCUGGCAACAAAAAGCCUCCUUU